AACACUUGGAAACAGGUGCUAAUACCGUAUAACAAUCGAAACCGCAUGGUUUUGAUUUGAAAGGCGCUUUCGGGUGUCGCUGAUGGAUGGACCCGCGGUGCAUUAGCUAGUUGGUGAGGUAACGGCUCACCAAGGCCACGAUGCAUAGCCGACCUGAGAGGGUGAUCGGCCACAUUGGGACUGAGACACGGCCCAAACUCCUACGGGAGGCAGCAGUAGGGAAUCUUCGGCAAUGGACGAAAGUCUGACCGAGCAACGCCGCGUGAGUGAAGAAGGUUUUCGGAUCGUAAAACUCUGUUGUUAGAGAAGAACAAGGAUGAGAGUAACUGUUCAUCCCUUGACGGUAUCUAACCAGAAAGCCACGGCUAACUACGUGCCAGCAGCCGCGGUAAUACGUAGGUGGCAAGCGUUGUCCGGAUUUAUUGGGCGUAAAGCGAGCGCAGGCGGUUUCUUAAGUCUGAUGUGAAAGCCCCCGGCUCAACCGGGGAGGGUCAUUGGAAACUGGGAGACUUGAGUGCAGAAGAGGAGAGUGGAAUUCCAUGUGUAGCGGUGAAAUGCGUAGAUAUAUGGAGGAACACCAGUGGCGAAGGCGGCUCUCUGGUCUGUAACUGACGCUGAGGCUCGAAAGCGUGGGGAGCAAACAGGAUUAGAUACCCUGGUAGUCCACGCCGUAAACGAUGAGUGCUAAGUGUUGGAGGGUUUCCGCCCUUCAGUGCUGCAGCUAACGCAUUAAGCACUCCGCCUGGGGAGUACGACCGCAAGGUUGAAACUCAAAGGAAUUGACGGGGGCCCGCACAAGCGGUGGAGCAUGUGGUUUAAUUCGAAGCAACGCGAAGAACCUUACCAGGUCUUGACAUCCUUUGACCACUCUAGAGAUAGAGCUUCCCCUUCGGGGGCAAAGUGACAGGUGGUGCAUGGUUGUCGUCAGCUCGUGUCGUGAGAUGUUGGGUUAAGUCCCGCAACGAGCGCAACCCUUAUUGUUAGUUGCCAUCAUUCAGUUGGGCACUCUAGCAAGACUGCCGGUGACAAACCGGAGGAAGGUGGGGAUGACGUCAAAUCAUCAUGCCCCUUAUGACCUGGGCUACACACGUGCUACAAUGGGAAGUACAACGAGUUGCGAAGUCGCGAGGCUAAGCUAAUCUCUUAAAGCUUCUCUCAGUUCGGAUUGCAGGCUGCAACUCGCCUGCAUGAAGCCGGAAUCGCUAGUAAUCGCGGAUCAGCACGCCGCGGUGAAUACGUUCCCGGGCCUUGUACA
This 1255-nucleotide ribosomal RNA is filed under the name Enterococcus faecium. RNAcentral's name for it is "bacterial SSU rRNA". It matches the Rfam family "Bacterial small subunit ribosomal RNA", at positions 145 to 1387 of the family's 1533-position model. Lineage: Bacteria; Bacillati; Bacillota; Bacilli; Lactobacillales; Enterococcaceae. The record is from RNAcentral.